CCUACGGGGUGCAGCAGUGAGGAAUAUUGGUCAAUGGGCGCGAGCCUGAACCAGCCAAGUCGCGUGAGGGAAGACGGUCCUAUGGAUUGUAAACCUCUUUUGUCGGGGAGCAAAAGACGCCACGCGUGGCGUUCCGAGAGUACCCGAAGAAAAAGCAUCGGCAAACUCCGUGCCAGCAGCCGCGGUAAUACGGAGGAUGCGAGCGUUAUCCGGAUUUAUUGGGUUAAAGGGGUGCGCAGGCGGAAGAUCAAGUCAGCGGUAAAAUUGAGAGGCUCAACCUCUUCGAGCCGUUGAAACUGGUUUUCUUGAGUGAGCGAGAAGUAUGCGGAAUGCGUGGUGUAGCGGUGAAAUGCAUAGAUAUCACGCAGAACUACGAUUGCGAAGGCAGCAUACCGGCGCUCAACUGACGCUCAUGCACGAAAGUGUGGGUAGCGAACAGGAUUAGAUACCCCUGUAGUC
Molecule: ribosomal RNA, 459 nt
Filed under: uncultured bacterium
Lineage: Bacteria
Description: partial 16S ribosomal RNA
Rfam family: Bacterial small subunit ribosomal RNA
Source: RNAcentral